UCUUUCUGUCACCAAGAACCAUACCACAUUCAAAAUCACUUAAAUCCCCCUUUUUCCCCAUUCUGAUGCUUGGUUUGAACUUCAGCAAGUCAUCUUCAUGACAUC
This is a long non-coding RNA of Thalassophryne amazonica, 105 nucleotides long. RefSeq lists it as uncharacterized. The transcript has 3 exons. Lineage: Eukaryota; Metazoa; Chordata; Actinopteri; Batrachoidiformes; Batrachoididae. The record is from RefSeq and is a predicted model, not a curated record.